AAUGAACGCUGGCGGCGUGCUUUACACAUGCAAGUUGAGCGAGGCCAGGGGGCAACCCCUGAGUCGAGCGGCGAACGGGUGAGUAACGCGUGGAUUAUCUGCCCUGAGGUGGGGAACAACCAGGGGAAACUCUGGCUGAUACCGCAUGAUACCGAGAGGUCAAAGGGGGCUCGCAAGGGCUCUCGCCACAGGAGGAGUCCGCGUCCGAUUAGCUAGUUGGUAGGUAAUGGCCUACCAAGGCGACGAUCGGUAGCCGGCCUGAGAGGGUGAUCGGCCACACUGGAACUGAGACACGGGUCCAGACUCCUACGGGAGGCAGCAGUGGGGAAUUUUUGCGCAAUGGGCUAACGCCUGACGCAGCAACGCCGCGUGGAGGAUGAAGGUCUUUGGAUUGUAGACUCCUGUCGACCGGGAAAAAGCAACCCGACCUAAUACGUCGGGAA
This 443-nucleotide ribosomal RNA is filed under the name uncultured bacterium. RNAcentral's name for it is "bacterial SSU rRNA". It matches the Rfam family "Bacterial small subunit ribosomal RNA", at positions 29 to 469 of the family's 1533-position model. The record is from RNAcentral.